RNAcentral lists this ribosomal RNA (394 nucleotides) under uncultured bacterium. Its description in RNAcentral is "partial 16S ribosomal RNA". It matches the Rfam family "Bacterial small subunit ribosomal RNA", at positions 523 to 918 of the family's 1533-position model. The record is from RNAcentral.
AUACGUAGGGGGCAAGCGUUAUCCGGAUUUACUGGGUGUAAAGGGAGCGUAGACGGAAGGCCAAGUCUGAUGUGAAAGCCCGCGGCUCAACUGCGGGACUGCAUUGGAAACUGGUCAUCUGGAGUGCAGGAGGGGUAAGCGGAAUUCCUAGUGUAGCGGUGAAAUGCGUAGAUAUUAGGAGGAACACCGAUUGCGAAGGCAUCUCACGAAGGGGUGAUUGACGCUGAGGCACGAAAGCGUGGGGAUCAAACAGGAUUAGAUACCCUGGUAGUCCACGCAGUAAACGAUGAUAACUAACCGCUGGGUCGUAGUGAUUCAGUGGCCAAGCGAAAGCGAUAAGUUAUCCACCUGGGGAGUACGACCGCAAGGUUGAAACUCAAAGGAAUUGACGGGG